CCAGCAACUUGGAGGAAUGUAUAGCAAUAGCUGAUUGCACCAACAAAUAGUUGAUGCAAUAUUGACUCUGUCAAAUAAAAUUCUAGGUAGAAUUAUGAUAAUGACAUUGUCUGCCUAUAUGUCUUGACCAAAUUACGUGCCAGCAGUCGCGGUAAUACGUAGAAGACUAGUGUUAUUCAUCUUUAAUAGGUUUAAAGGGUACCUAGACGGUAAAUCAAGCCUUCACAGGGACUAAUUUACUAGAGUUACUUACGAGGGGGUAUUAAAGUACUGCAGGUGUAGAGAUGAAAUUCUGUCAUACCUCUUUUCAAAAGAAAAAUUAUGGCACAGGUAUAGGUGAAAGCAUCCCCUUAUGUGAUAACUGACGUUGAAGGACGAAGGCUUUGUGUCGCGAACAGGAUUAGAUACCCCAGUAGUCAAAGCAGAAAAUGAUGAAUGUCAUAGAUUAGAUAAAUAGUUUAUUCUAUAAAUGAAAAUGUAAGCAUUCCACCUCAAGAGUAAUUUGGCAACAUUGGAACUGAAAUCAUUAGACCGUUUCUGAAACCAGUAGUGAAGUAUGUUGUUUAAUUUGAUGAUCCGCAAAAAACCUUACCACAAUUUGAAUAUUUAUAUCUAUUUUUUUUUUUCGUAAAAAAAUAAAAAGGUAAUAUAUUUACAAGCGUUGCACGGCUGUCUUCAGUUAAUGUCGCGAGACUUUGGUUAGUUCCAUUAAAUUAACGUAAACCCUUACUUUAUUUUUAUAUGAAGUAGUUCCCCGCUAUAUUGGAUAUGAUAACAGGGACUAAGACAAGUCAUCAUGG
This 800-nucleotide ribosomal RNA is filed under the name Lepraria subalbicans. RNAcentral's name for it is "SSU rRNA". It matches the Rfam family "Bacterial small subunit ribosomal RNA", at positions 345 to 1198 of the family's 1533-position model. Lineage: Eukaryota; Fungi; Ascomycota; Lecanoromycetes; Lecanorales; Stereocaulaceae. The record is from RNAcentral.